GAUGAACGCUAGCUACAGGCUUAACACAUGCAAGUCGAGGGGAAACGACAUCGAAAGCUUGCUUUUGAUGGGCGUCGACCGGCGCACGGGUGAGUAACGCGUAUCCAACCUGCCCACCACUUGGGGAUAACCUUGCGAAAGUAAGACUAAUACCCAAUGAUAUCUCUAGAAGACAUCUGAAAGAGAUUAAAGAUUUAUCGGUGAUGGAUGGGGAUGCGUCUGAUUAGCUUGUUGGCGGGGUAACGGCCCACCAAGGCUACGAUCAGUAGGGGUUCUGAGAGGAAGGUCCCCCACAUUGGAACUGAGACACGGUCCAAACUCCUACGGGAGGCAGCAGUGAGGAAUAUUGGUCAAUGGACGAGAGUCUGAACCAGCCAAGUAGCGUGCAGGAUGACGGCCCUAUGGGUUGUAAACUGCUUUUAUAAGGGAAUAAAGUGAGAGUCGUGACUCUUUUUGCAUGUACCUUAUGAAUAAGGACCGGCUAAUUCCGUG
Molecule: ribosomal RNA, 492 nt
Filed under: uncultured bacterium
Lineage: Bacteria
Description: bacterial SSU rRNA
Rfam family: Bacterial small subunit ribosomal RNA
Source: RNAcentral